UGAUAGCACUUAAGGGUUUAAUAUUCAAAAGUUAGGUCUGGGUUUAGCAUUUAGGAGUUGUGUAUUGGGUUACAGCCAUAUACUAUUCAAAAGUUAGGUCUGAGUUUAGUUUAAUAUUACAUAAUAUUAUAUACUAUCUUCAGAUUUUGAUAAUUGGGCUUAUGGUUUAUAUUUGAGUUUAGGGUUCGGUAAUUAGAAUUUAGGGUUUAAUAUCUAGAUGUAAGGGUAGCGUUUAAAGUUUAGGGUUUAGUAUUUAGGGGGUGAUGUUUGGAGUAAAGUUUAUUAUUUACGAGAUGUGAGUGGAUUUGGAGUCCUAUUCUAUUUCAAUGAUAUGAUCUAGAAAAAUCUGAUGCAUAUUUAUGUGGUAAACAAAUGUGUGGUGUUGGUGGCAUUACGUUGUGUGAUAAUUAAUUGUGGAGUGUCAAGUUGUCCAUGUCAUCAAUUUUCUCUCUCUAUUACUCGC
Molecule: long non-coding RNA, 463 nt
Filed under: Brassica napus (rape)
Lineage: Eukaryota; Viridiplantae; Streptophyta; Magnoliopsida; Brassicales; Brassicaceae
Description: long non-coding RNA (BNAP_LNC010232)
Source: RNAcentral